Molecule: ribosomal RNA, 1550 nt
Filed under: Klebsiella pneumoniae
Lineage: Bacteria; Pseudomonadati; Pseudomonadota; Gammaproteobacteria; Enterobacterales; Enterobacteriaceae
Description: bacterial SSU rRNA
Rfam family: Bacterial small subunit ribosomal RNA
Source: RNAcentral
AAAUUGAAGAGUUUGAUCAUGGCUCAGAUUGAACGCUGGCGGCAGGCCUAACACAUGCAAGUCGAGCGGUAGCACAGAGAGCUUGCUCUCGGGUGACGAGCGGCGGACGGGUGAGUAAUGUCUGGGAAACUGCCUGAUGGAGGGGGAUAACUACUGGAAACGGUAGCUAAUACCGCAUAACGUCGCAAGACCAAAGUGGGGGACCUUCGGGCCUCAUGCCAUCAGAUGUGCCCAGAUGGGAUUAGCUAGUAGGUGGGGUAACGGCUCACCUAGGCGACGAUCCCUAGCUGGUCUGAGAGGAUGACCAGCCACACUGGAACUGAGACACGGUCCAGACUCCUACGGGAGGCAGCAGUGGGGAAUAUUGCACAAUGGGCGCAAGCCUGAUGCAGCCAUGCCGCGUGUGUGAAGAAGGCCUUCGGGUUGUAAAGCACUUUCAGCGGGGAGGAAGGCGGUGAGGUUAAUAACCUCAUCGAUUGACGUUACCCGCAGAAGAAGCACCGGCUAACUCCGUGCCAGCAGCCGCGGUAAUACGGAGGGUGCAAGCGUUAAUCGGAAUUACUGGGCGUAAAGCGCACGCAGGCGGUCUGUCAAGUCGGAUGUGAAAUCCCCGGGCUCAACCUGGGAACUGCAUUCGAAACUGGCAGGCUAGAGUCUUGUAGAGGGGGGGUAGAAUUCCAGGUGUAGCGGUGAAAUGCGUAGAGAUCUGGAGGAAUACCGGUGGCGAAGGCGGCCCCCUGGACAAAGACUGACGCUCAGGUGCGAAAGCGUGGGGAGCAAACAGGAUUAGAUACCCUGGUAGUCCACGCCGUAAACGAUGUCGAUUUGGAGGUUGUGCCCUUGAGGCGUGGCUUCCGGAGCUAACGCGUUAAAUCGACCGCCUUGGGGAGUACGGCCGCAAGGUUAAAACUCAAAUGAAUUGACGGGGGCCCGCACAAGCGGUGGAGCAUGUGGUUUAAUUCGAUGCAACGCGAAGAACCUUACGGUCUUGACAUCCACAGAACUUUCCAGAGAUGGAUUGGUGCCUUCGGGAACUGUGAGACAGGUGCUGCAUGGCUGUCGUCAGCUCGUGUUGUGAAAUGUUGGGUUAAGUCCCGCAACGAGCGCAACCCUUAUCCUUUGUUGCCAGCGGUUAGGCCGGGAACUCAAAGGAGACUGCCAGUGAUAAACUGGAGGAAGGUGGGGAUGACGUCAAGUCAUCAUGGCCCUUACGACCAGGGCUACACACGUGCUACAAUGGCAUAUACAAAGAGAAGCGACCUCGCGAGAGCAAGCGGACCUCAUAAAGUAUGUCGUAGUCCGGAUUGGAGUCUGCAACUCGACUCCAUGAAGUCGGAAUCGCUAGUAAUCGUAGAUCAGAAUGCUACGGUGAAUACGUUCCCGGGCCUUGUACACACCGCCCGUCACACCAUGGGAGUGGGUUGCAAAAGAAGUAGGUAGCUUAACCUUCGGGAGGGCGCUUACCACUUUGUGAUUCAUGACUGGGGUGAAGUCGUAACAAGGUAACCGUAGGGGAACCUGCGGUUGGAUCACCUCCUUACCUUAAAGAA